Molecule: long non-coding RNA, 1038 nt
Filed under: Scleropages formosus (Asian bonytongue)
Lineage: Eukaryota; Metazoa; Chordata; Actinopteri; Osteoglossiformes; Osteoglossidae
Description: lncRNA (ENSSFOG00015026906.1)
Source: RNAcentral
AUGUACAGUUUCAAUAAAGAGCACGUUCCUUUUACCCCGUCUGUCGAGCCUGUUUCUAGUAGCUCCAUGGAAGGACGCUACAUUGGUGUCAGAAGCGGGAUGGCGCACGCUCUGAGCGAGCAAACCCCAAGAACCGACCGGGGAAGAGAACGUUCUCGGGAGAUCGAAGAUAUUCAGCAGAAGACUUCGGAACUGCUAGCCGCUUUGGAGCAACUGUGGGGACCGUCACCACCACGCUGGCGAGAGGCUUCCCUCACGACGGUGUGCGGAGAAAGAGGUAUUCCCCAACCACCGCCCAGGACGCCAGCCUCGGGGGAAACACCGCAGCGAACAGCGCUCCGCCUGCCGCGGUAUUCGGGGACGGAGCCGUGGGAAACAUACGAGGCACAGCUUCGCCUAGCAGCGCGGCACAACGGCUGGGAUGCGGCAACUACAGCAGCACAGCUGGGGCUAGCCUUGGAGGGGAAAGCGCUGACCGUGCUGCUAGACGUGAGAGCGGACCAACACCACGAGCUGCCCGCGCUCACGGCUGCCCUGAGACGCCGUUUCGGCCAACACGAAACAGCGGACUAUUAUCGCGGACAGCUCACAGCGAGACGACGCGGCAAAGGCGAAGCCCUGGGAGCGCUGGCCGCGGAUAUCCAGCUCCUGGCGCAGCGGGCGUACCCGCAAUACCCCGCAGAUAUCCAAGAAGACUUGGCGCUGCAGGCAUUCCUCCGAGCGCUCGCCCCAGAACGCCUGCAGCAGCAUGUUAGGCUUGCUGCCCCGGCUAACCUGGAGGCGGCGCAGCGAGAGGCGGAACGCACGGAAGCCGUCCUGCGGGAGGCGAAGGAGCCCGCGCAUUCUUGCCGCUCCCUGGAAGACGUCACUGAUGACGAGGUGGAGAGAGAAGCUGCGCGCCAAGUCGAGGCACCGCCUGCGCGCCAACGGCCUCCUAUUAUCUGCUGGCGUUGUCGGAAGCGAGGUCACCAGGCGCGCCACUGCAGAGAGCCCGCCCCCGCGGCACCUCAGGGAAACGGCAGAGGGGCGACGCCGUGA